GCCUAAGGGUGAGUCUGCGGACUAUCAGGCUGUAGUCAGGGUAAUGACCUGACUAACCUACGACGGAUACGGGUUGUGAGAGCAAUAACCCGGAGACGAUAUCUGAGACACGAUAUCGGGCCCUACGGGGCGCAGCAGGCGCGAAACCUUCACACUGUGCGAAAGCGCGAUGAGGGAAUCCCAAGUGCUUGCUCGUAAGAGUAAGCUGUUUUUGUGUAUAAAAAGCAUAGAGAGUAAGGGCUGGGUAAGACGGGUGCCAGCCGCCGCGGUAAUACCUGCAGCUCAAGUGGUGACCACUAUUAUUGGGCCUAAAACGUUCGUAGCCGGUCUUUUAAAUGCCUGGGUAAAUCGAGCCGCUUAACGGUUCGAAUUCCGGGUAGACUGGAAGACUUGAGACCGGGAGAGGCUAGAGGUACUCCUGGGGUAGAGGUGACAUUCUGUAAUCCUGGGGGGAC
RNAcentral lists this ribosomal RNA (455 nucleotides) under uncultured archaeon. RNAcentral's name for it is "bacterial SSU rRNA". It matches the Rfam family "Archaeal small subunit ribosomal RNA", at positions 201 to 657 of the family's 1478-position model. The record is from RNAcentral.